RNAcentral lists this transfer RNA (63 nucleotides) under Homotoma ficus. RNAcentral's name for it is "tRNA-Asn". Lineage: Eukaryota; Metazoa; Arthropoda; Insecta; Hemiptera; Carsidaridae. The record is from RNAcentral.
GAAUAAAAGUCAAAGAGAGACAAAUUAUUGUUAAUAAUUUUAAUGAUACAAUUCUUAUUCAAG